AUACGUAGGGGGCGAGCGUUGUCCGGAAUUACUGGGCGUAAAGGGCGUCUAGGUGGCCUCUUGUGUGUAAGGUUAAAGGCGUCGGCUCAACCGACGACGUGCCUUGCAAACGGGGAGGCUUGAGAACAGGAGAGGGAUGCGGAAUUCCCGGUGGAGCGGUGAAAUGCGUAGAGAUCGGGAAGAACACCAGUGGCGAAGGCGGCAUCCUGGCCUGGAUCUGACACUGAAGCGCGAAAGCGUGGGGAGCGAACGGGAUUAGAUACCCCGGUAGUCCACGCCGUAAACGAUGGGUACUAGGUGUGGGAGGUAUCGACCCCUUCCGUGCCGGAGCUAACGCACUAAGUACCCCGCCUGGGGAGUACGGCUGCAAGGCUGAA
RNAcentral lists this ribosomal RNA (377 nucleotides) under uncultured bacterium. RNAcentral's name for it is "bacterial SSU rRNA". It matches the Rfam family "Bacterial small subunit ribosomal RNA", at positions 523 to 898 of the family's 1533-position model. The record is from RNAcentral.